This 274-nucleotide unclassified non-coding RNA is filed under the name uncultured fungus. RNAcentral describes it as "sequence contains ITS1". The stretch from base 1 to 97 matches the Rfam family "5.8S ribosomal RNA", at positions 49 to 154 of the family's 154-position model. The record is from RNAcentral. Lineage: Eukaryota; Fungi.
UAAAGUGCGAUAUGUAGUGCGAUUUGCAUGAAUCUGUGAGUCAUCUAAUCUUUGAACGCAACUUGCGCCUCUCUGAGGCAUGUCUGUUUGAGUGCCGCAUACAUCAAUGCAGCAAUGCGAUUUGACUGUUGUCCCCGGACUCGGUCUAAACGUAGCCAGAUAGUGGCCUGUGUAGGCUAGCCCGAGUGCUAAGCAUUCUCUGAGCUAGCCCACAAGGGUUGCCCAAUAUCUAUCUAUUGGCCUCAAAUCAGGCAAGACUACCCGCUGAACUUAA